This 556-nucleotide long non-coding RNA is filed under the name Anser cygnoides (Swan goose). RNAcentral describes it as "lncRNA (ENSACDG00005016063.1)". Lineage: Eukaryota; Metazoa; Chordata; Aves; Anseriformes; Anatidae. The record is from RNAcentral.
CAGGGAGGUUUCUGGUCAGAGCGGGGAGGCAGCAGCCUUGGGAGCUCUUGGCCCCUGAUAGUAAAUACAGCUGGUCACAUUAGAGCUCUUGAAUAAUUUAUGGGAUGACUCUUCAAAAUAGUAAAUCCUCCCCCCCGCCCCUUGAGCCUGCUCCAUCCUUCAUCAGAUGGUGUGGCUGGUGAGUGGUUUAUGAAUAUUUAAGGAGUUUUGCUAAAUUCAUAGAACCUUGUAAAGAUGGUUUAAAAAUGUCAAGCGAAAUAUUUGCACGUCGCGUUUUGCACCAGCUGCGUGGCCACGGGGGCAGGACAUGGGAGCCAACUGCAAAACACUUCCCCAGAAAAUGAGCCACGAGCAAAAUGCAGGCAAGGAGAAACUUCGAACGAGCCCUAAUUACACUGAUUGCCUCCUCUUCGGCUCAUGGGAGAGCUGCGAGGGACCAGGGAGGCAGAAAUGCAAGGGAGACCCCGGCAGUGCCCACAUCUCAGGAAGCUUGUGAGCGGCUCUGUGUACCCAAGACAUCUCUUUGCAGCACAUUCCCGUUAGCCUAGCCUGGAGC